Molecule: long non-coding RNA, 1083 nt
Filed under: Podarcis muralis (Common wall lizard)
Lineage: Eukaryota; Metazoa; Chordata; Lepidosauria; Squamata; Lacertidae
Description: lncRNA (ENSPMRG00000018687.1)
Source: RNAcentral
GACCCGGUGGCUGAAAGGGCAAGAGAGGAACCUAAUUGUAAACCAAAACCCAGCCGUCGGAGGGCCGUAGGUUUCCCACGCUGCUCUAACCGCUACGUGGCACUGCCUGCCGCAUCCCUCCUGAAACAAAGGGCAGCUCCUUUCAGGUCUCCGUCCCACAACCCGCCUCAAGACGAGACACGGUUCCCUCCGCCGGCCCCUGUGACAUCAGCCGCCCUUCCCCCCGCCCCCGAGUCCCCUCAGGCCGCUCACCUUGACCCGCACGCGGACCACCUCGUGCUCCUCCUCCUCUGGCGCCCCCGCCCCGCCCCCUCCCGGCGCCCCCGCCGCCGCCAUCCCGGCGGCCCCUCCACCUUCUGGCGCGUCUUGAGGGCGGGGGGAGGAGGCGCCUCGCGCCGGGGCCGUUGCAGCCCCCUCCCCCUCCACGUCACGCGCCCGGCGGGGGGGGGAGGAAGGGGAAGAGGGCCCCGCGCAGUCAGCCGCCUCGCUCCGCCGGGACUCCCGCGUCAGGCAGGCGGGGGGCAGGCGGACGGAGAGGCGCCGCUUCCAUCACGUGACCUCCUCCCCGCGCCGGCUACUUCCGCCCCGUCCGGCGCUGACGUCACCGCCCCGGCCUUAAAGGCGCAGAGCGCGAAGUUUGCUCAGAGAAAUCUUGGAUGGUAUAUUCUUAUGAUAGUGUACACGAUGAGAAGUGAUCCUCUUUCAAACUGCUUCCAGCUCACAAACAAAAAAGACUUGUUAUUUCUCUCAGAUAUUAUGUCAGUGGUUAGUUACACUUUUCGGAAAUUCUUCAAGAACCACAAGACUGGAAGUAGGCAGACGUUGGAGCAAUACUGCUUAAUACAACGAUUGACCAGGACUGCUGUGAACAUUUUUGGAUAUUGAUUCAGAAGAUUAAGAAGGCAAAAUGAAUUAAUAUUAUUAAUUUUUUUAAAUCUGCGUAUGGGAAUUAAUCUAAUACAAAUAUGUUUCCCUGUACCUGGCACAUCAACACCUCUUUAUAUUGUGUUAAAUAAUAUUUCCAAUUGUAGAAUUGAAAAGUCUUUGUGGUGUUGUUGUUUUUAAAAAAUAAAAGCUAGAAAG